CCAAAUGGAAGGAAAUGAGAUUGUCUCUGGGGAUGAAGGUGGAAAGAGAUUACGUUAUGUGCAUUUGGAUUAUUUUUAUGGAACACUCUUCCUGGAGUUAGUUGUUACCCAGUACACUCAGCACCUUUUCAGAUGAAUGCAUAUUUUGUUAUACUUUGUUUCACUGGUACUUGGCUCUGCGGCUCAGUUGGGGUGGCGAUUUUCCAGUUCUACGAGGCUGGAACUUAAUGUACAGUUUAGCUGCUGUGUGAGCCGGCUGUACAGCUUGUCUGGUAUGGACCGGAUGCCUUUUGGUACGGAAACGCUCUGGGUUUAAUCUACUAUACUUGCAUUUGUCAUCUGUAAAAUAUCUGCUCUUUCACAUAUUUUCAUCAAUUCACAGGAUGGUGAACAGAAUUUUUAGAGAUGUAUUCACAAAGAAUUCUGGGAAAUGCAACCCCCCCCCCCCCAAAAAAAAAAAUAACAGGAAUUCUAUAACAUAGCUAAUGUUUUAGCUUCACUAUUUUGGCCAAAAAUAUGAAAUCUUCCUCUUAUUUCUCUACAAUUUCAACAUCAUAUAAUAUAAUAUACAUUAUCGUGUGCACAUAGUAUGUUACCAUUUUCUAUAUACUAAUCUUCUGAGUGUGUAACCAGGCCCAAACAGAGGAUGUUGUACUAGUUAGUGCCUCACUUCUAAAUCCAGUGUAAGUGUGUUUCAGGAGGAGUGCGGGUUUCUUCCAGAGCCAACGUUUGGAGGCGAUAGCGAUUAGAGAGUUGUGGACUUACUGAGUCAAAAUGUAUUUCUACUGGCAUUUACAACAGAGUUAUGUCUCUCCGCAGAGCUCCUUACCCAUUCCGACCCCAUGUCCUCCAGCCAAACAUAGACUGUCGCCUUGGAAUCCUGUCCAACAUGGGUUCUGGAAGAUCAACUUUUUGUCAUUUUGUCCACGCCAGUCUUGUAAUAUUUUUAUCAAAAUGAGGCCACACACGUUGUACUAUGGAGAGUAUGUCUUCACAGCAGUUUUCUGUAAAAUAUAUCUUGUUACAGCUUAUGUUAUGGUGCUAUUAUAACUAAAGGCCAAUGUUAUAUUGUUUAAGAUAAAAUAUCAGCCUGCGCAUUACACAAAGCAUUAGAGCCAGCAUUAAAUUUUUUUAUAUUGUUGGAUGUUUUAUUUUUCUCUGGCUUUCUUGUGCACUUAGAUUUUAAAAAGUAGGCAGCUCUGUUACUGGGAUUAUCUGUUACUGAGUUACAAUACAUUUCUACUUAAAAAGACAAUCUACAAAUCAUAUGAUAGAACAGAUUCACGAUGGUGAUUUGUUUAUUAUGGGGAAUAUAUAUAUACACAGUGCAGGUUCUGGAAAUAUCAUUCAUAGAAUUAGUUUGCACAAGCUAUAUAACCUCGAUAUAUAAUAGCCUGCUUUCCUGAUAUUGUCUGCAGUACCAGAUAUUGCCAUCAAUUUCCAAUGGGCACGGUGUUUCCAGAGCUCGGGCAUAUCACCAAUGCCAAUCACCAGGCAACCACCUGUAAACCAGCUUCGGGCUGCCCUGUAAAUGGCGAAACAAUAAAAACACAAUGCGUUUCCAAUACUACAUCUCAGACGGUGCAUAAACCGUGCCCAGAUAAUAACCUUGUAUAUUCAGACCAAAUGGAGAAACAGGUUUUCUGGAUGUAUUAGUUGUGUAUUUAUUGCUCAUUGGAUAUAAUAAGAUAAUAAUUUACUGUUUGAUUAAUUAUUACUUUGUCCUGUUUGCCUCGCUGUAUAUUGAUAAUUACCUCCUCACAUUCCCGUUUUGUAUCCUUGAAACUGCUGAUAUUUUGUAUCAGGUAAAAUAAAUCACCUGUUUGGAA
Molecule: non-coding RNA, 1829 nt
Organism: Pelobates cultripes (western spadefoot toad)
Lineage: Eukaryota; Metazoa; Chordata; Amphibia; Anura; Pelobatidae
Source: the annotation of a GenBank genome assembly